This 266-nucleotide ribosomal RNA is filed under the name uncultured bacterium. RNAcentral describes it as "partial 16S ribosomal RNA". It matches the Rfam family "Bacterial small subunit ribosomal RNA", at positions 86 to 354 of the family's 1533-position model. The record is from RNAcentral.
UGCCGGCGACCGGCGGACGGGUGCGUAACGCGUAUGUAACCUACCUUUGACAGGGGGAUAACAUCGAGAAAUUGGUACUAAUACCCCAUAACAUCACCGGAGGCAUCUUCGGUGGUUGAAAACUCAGGUGGUCAGAGAUGGCAUGCGUUGUAUUAGCUAGUUGGUGAGGUAACGGCUCACCAAGGCGACGAUACAUAGGGGGACUGAGAGGUCAACCCCCCACAUUGGUACUGAGACACGGACCAAACUCCUACGGAAGGCAGCAG